UGGGGAAUAUUGCACAAUGGGCGCAAGCCUGAUGCAGCCAUGCCGCGUGUGUGAAGAAGGCCUUCGGGUUGUAAAGCACUUUCAGCGAGGAGGAAGGUGGUGAGCUUAAUACGCUCAUCAAUUGACGUUACUCGCAGAAGAAGCACCGGCUAACUCCGUGCCAGCAGCCGCGGUAAUACGGAGGGUGCAAGCGUUAAUCGGAAUUACUGGGCGUAAAGCGCACGCAGGCGGUUUGUUAAGUCAGAUGUGAAAUCCCCGGGCUCAACCUGGGAACUGCAUUUGAAACUGGCAAGCUAGAGUCUCGUAGAGGGGGGUAGAAUUCCAGGUGUAGCGGUGAAAUGCGUAGAGAUCUGGAGGAAUACCGGUGGCGAAGGCGGCCCCCUGGACGAAGACUGACGCUCAGGUGCGAAAGCGUGGGGAGCAAACAGGAUUAGAUACCCCUGGUAGUCCACGCUGUAAAACGAUGUCGAUUUUGGAGGUUGUGCCCUUGAGGCGUGGCUUCCGGAGCUAACGCGUUAAAUCGACCGCCUGGGGAGUACGGCCGCAA
RNAcentral lists this ribosomal RNA (547 nucleotides) under uncultured bacterium. RNAcentral describes it as "partial 16S ribosomal RNA". It matches the Rfam family "Bacterial small subunit ribosomal RNA", at positions 355 to 891 of the family's 1533-position model. The record is from RNAcentral.